RNAcentral lists this ribosomal RNA (496 nucleotides) under uncultured bacterium. RNAcentral describes it as "partial 16S ribosomal RNA". It matches the Rfam family "Bacterial small subunit ribosomal RNA", at positions 29 to 507 of the family's 1533-position model. The record is from RNAcentral.
AUGAACGCUGGCGGCGUGCCUAAUACAUGCAAGUCGCGCGAACAGAUAAGGAGCUUGCUCCUUUGACGUUAGCGGCGGACGGGUGAGUAACACGUGGGUAACCUACCUAUAAGACUGGGAUAACUUCGGGAAACCGGAGCUAAUACCGGAUAACAUUUGGAACCGCAUGGUUCUAAAGUGAAAGAUGGUUUUGCUAUCACUUAUAGAUAGACCCGCGCCGUAUUAGCUAGUUGGUAAGGUAACGGCUUACCAAGGCGACGAUACGUAGCCGACCUGAGAGGGUGAUCGGCCACACUGGAACUGAGACACGGUCCAGACUCCUACGGGAGGCAGCAGUAGGGAAUCUUCCGCAAUGGGCGAAAGCCUGACGGAGCAACGCCGCGUGAGUGAUGAAGGGUUUCGGCUCGUAAAACUCUGUUAUUAGGGAAGAACAAAUGUGUAAGUAACUGUGCACGUCCUGACGGUACCUAAUCAGAAAGCCACGGCUAACUACGUG